CUUUAGCCAAAAAGAAACAAACCAAAUGUCCAUCAAUUGAUGACACCUGUAACAGGCUCUGUUUGACACCUUCAGUAGCCCAGCUAUGUGUACUGCUAUUCCAGCCAUGCUGUUCCUGUAAUGCUUCUGGUCAUAUACUGCUGGUAGACUUAGAUGAUUGUGGCACCCACACAAUGCCCUUCUAUGACAGUUACACCUGCCCUAUGUCAUGCUAUUUCUCGACUCUGCUAGCUGAGACUUGGAAGAGUAUUCCUAAGGACUGUGAGAAGAAGAGAUUACAGUUUCAUUAUCACAGCAGAGAAGAAAUUGUACAUGAUGCUAAGGAGAAGUGGUACUGCUCUGUCCUGGAUGUCAAACAGGAGCUACCAUUGCUUACCAUCUACCCUGGAGAAGACCACUAAGCUCCCUCACAGUCAGUUGAUCACCUCUGUCAAGGAGAGAGUCAUAGACCCAGAAGUUCUUUUCAGCCAUCCUCCUCAGGUAUGAAAGCAGUGGCACUCAAGAUAGCACUUCCAUGUCACCCAUGAGAUGUGAUGCUUAUAUUAGAAAAGAUCUAUAUGCCAACACAACACAUCCCAUCUGGUCUGGUAGUACUACCAUGUGUCCUGCUAUUACUGGCUUUAGAACACAGACAGAUGUCACAGCCUUGGGAAAAAAAAACACAAUAAAAAUUAAGAUUUCCCUUCUUCUGAGUGCACAUACUGUGGCUAGCGACUGUCUUGACCUUCCAGCAGAUGUGGAAUAGCAAGCAAGAGUCUGAUGAGUUUGACCUGCCCAUUGCCCAC
Molecule: long non-coding RNA, 785 nt
Filed under: Homo sapiens (human)
Lineage: Eukaryota; Metazoa; Chordata; Mammalia; Primates; Hominidae
Description: non-protein coding lnc-ADAT2-1:1
Source: RNAcentral